RNAcentral lists this ribosomal RNA (486 nucleotides) under Babamunida javieri. Its description in RNAcentral is "partial 16S ribosomal RNA". It matches the Rfam family "Bacterial large subunit ribosomal RNA", at positions 1831 to 2564 of the family's 2925-position model. The record is from RNAcentral. Lineage: Eukaryota; Metazoa; Arthropoda; Malacostraca; Decapoda; Munididae.
GUCUGUGUGAAGUUACAUGGAGUCUAGCCUGCCCGUUGAAAUUAGUUUGAAAGGCCGCGGUAUAUUAACUGUGCAAAGGUAGCAUAAUCAUUAGUUUUUUAAUUGAAGGCUUGUAUGAAGGGUUGGACAAAGAAAAGUCUGUCUUUAUUUUUAGGCUUGAAUUUAACUUUUAAGUGAAAAGGCUUAAAUGGAUUUAAGGGACGAUAAGACCCUAUAAAUCUUUAUAAUAAUUUGGUUUAAGUUGGAGUUUAAUUAAGUAAUAAUGUUCAAUAAGGUAAAUUUUAUUUUGUUGGGGCGAUGAGAAUAUAUAGGUAACUGUUCUAGUGUUUAAUCAGAGUUGUUUGUGGAUUAUUGAAGAUCCUUUAUUAAGAUUUAAAGUUUAAGUUACUUUAGGGAUAACAGCGUUAUUUUUUUUGAGAGUUCAUAUCGAAAAAAAAGUUUGCGACCUCGAUGUUGAAUUAAAAUUUCUCUGUGGUGUAGUAGUUA